Non-coding RNA from Branchiostoma floridae (Florida lancelet), 114 nucleotides. The record is from Rfam. NCBI's taxonomy places the organism in Eukaryota, Metazoa, Chordata, Leptocardii, Amphioxiformes, Branchiostomatidae.
GUUGGGUACGGGGACAACACCCCUCUCACGGUUGGCGGAAAAAUCGUCGGGGCCGUGUGUGCGGUGACGGGACUGUUGGUCAUCGCGCUGCCGGUGCCGGUUAUCGUGUCCAAC